CAGUCGCCACGGUAAAACGUAGGGUGCAAGCGUUAAUCGGAAUUACUGGGCGUAAAGCGUGCGCAGGCGGUUCGGAAAGAAAGAUGUGAAAUCCCAGGGCUUAACCUUGGAACUGCAUUUUUAACUCCCGGACUAGAGUAUGUCAGAGGGGGGUGGAAUUCCACGUGUAGCAGUGAAAUGCGUAGAUAUGUGGAGGAACACCGAUGGCGAAGGCAGCCCCCUGGGAUAAUACUGACGCUCAUGCACGAAAGCGUGGGGAGCAAACAGGAUUAGAUACCCGCGUAGUCCCUGUCUCUUAUAC
RNAcentral lists this ribosomal RNA (301 nucleotides) under uncultured bacterium. RNAcentral describes it as "partial 16S ribosomal RNA". It matches the Rfam family "Bacterial small subunit ribosomal RNA", at positions 509 to 807 of the family's 1533-position model. The record is from RNAcentral.